AGAGAAUCGUGUUUGAGAAGAGAAUUCAGAAUUGGCCUGAGAACUCAAGUUAUCUUUAACUAUGGGACCUAAUGAGUUGUGUUGACACAUGAUUCUAGGCUCCUUACCCAGGUGGCCUCUCCUGUCAUCACUACAGUGAGUCUCAUCCAAAUCAGGAGUUUCAGCCACCACUACUUCCUGCAACACUUACAAUGCAAUAAUAUUAACCCCAAGGAAAAGUUGUAUCGAGCACCUCUUUUUCAUAUUCUUUCAAUGGACACCAGCAAGCAGCAUCCAAUUGUGUGAAGCUUCUAGGAGGAAUGAGUUCCUCCUUGCUUGUCAAUGACCUGUGUGCGCCUGUCCUCUGAAGGAAAGUGUACAUCUGCUGCCUGUUGGCGGAAGACUUGGAGAUAAGUCACCACAGGAAAGGUUUGACCUUCAGUUGCUGUCUACAGCACUACGGGGGUGAUUCUCUGGAAGGUUGGCAUCAGCAGGCUCAAGGGUCUAGAAGAGCAAGUUGCCUACCACAGCUUCAUUUGUUCAGUGGAUGGAUGGAUUGAUAAACAGACUACUGUUUCAAAAGACCUAUUCUCAUAUUAACUUGUAAUAGGACCACAAGAGCAUAAGGAUCUCUUCAGAAUCAAAGAAAGUAUUGGCUGUAAAUCAAAGGAUUAGUGAUAUCAGAAA
Mesocricetus auratus (golden hamster) is the source of this 666-nucleotide long non-coding RNA. RefSeq lists it as uncharacterized. The transcript has 4 exons. The record is from RefSeq and is a predicted model, not a curated record. Lineage: Eukaryota; Metazoa; Chordata; Mammalia; Rodentia; Cricetidae.